Molecule: long non-coding RNA, 471 nt
Filed under: Olea europaea (common olive)
Lineage: Eukaryota; Viridiplantae; Streptophyta; Magnoliopsida; Lamiales; Oleaceae
Description: long non-coding RNA (OEUR_LNC012315)
Source: RNAcentral
AUAUUCAUCUUAAGACUAAUCUAGUUGUGAUUGUAGGUCAAUGGAAUUCACGAAGAAGAUCGUGGUGUUAUGUGCGAAAGAUUACUCUUUGACAGCUCCCGGCCACAUUGGUGUCAGAAUAACUACUGCUAAGUGAAGCUAUUGUCUUCGAGAACUUACGAAGAAUGGCCAUUAUGAAGCUUCGGAUUAAAAAACAGACAAAGACGGAAAGCUCAUUUUUAAAGAAACAGUGCUUGUAUGGUACACGGUAUUGGAUAUGACGAGAGAGUAUCAAACAUGUUGUUAGGUGAUUAGCUAAGGUUUAACAUCCCUAAAUUUCCAUGUAAUAGGUAGCAGCAGCAUCUAUUGUUUUUGUAAGAAAUGUUUAGUCGUAGUGCCAUGUGCACUUUGUUGUCAUUUUAGUUUCCCUUUUCUAUCAUAUUUCAAUCUUUGUAUUUAUCAAUUUGCAAUCAAUCAAUAAUGAUUUUUCGG